RNAcentral lists this long non-coding RNA (1871 nucleotides) under Canis lupus familiaris (dog). Its description in RNAcentral is "lncRNA (ENSCAFG00030024982.1)". The record is from RNAcentral. Lineage: Eukaryota; Metazoa; Chordata; Mammalia; Carnivora; Canidae.
AUGAUUUUACUUAAAAUUCCUUUAUUCUUUUCAGGGGUCACCAAUUCCAAUAAAUCUCUCUGUGGCCACUGCCAAUCAGAAAUAUACCAGAGAACUGUCAUGGAUGCACCCAGUAGCCAUGGCCUCAGUCUCUUCAUCUACAAACUGACAGCCACAUUACCAAUGGUGUGUAUAAGGUUGUUAUUUUUUAAUGCUAGAAAUGAUAAAGCCAUGCCCUGGAUAGAAAACUUGAAUUAAUGAAAGAACUGGAAAUGAUAAGCGAAAGACACACCAUUUUCCUCCUUUCCUACCUCUGAAAUCCCACCAAAACCCCAGAACUGUAUUGCUUUAUAGCUGGGUUUUGUUGAACUUUCAAUAAACAGAGAUAUAUACCUCAUGUGUUUUGUUUCCAGAGGGGAAGUUCAGGGGCUCCUGCAUGGCUUAGUUGGUUAAGUGUCUGCUUUUGGCUCAGGUCAUGAUAUCUGGAUCCUGGGAUUGAGCCCCAAAGUGAGUGAGCUCCUGCUCAGCUUUCCCGGCCAGUCCCCCUGCUUGUGCUCUCUCUGUCAAAUAAAUAAAUAAAAUAUUUAAAUUUAAAGAGAGAAAGUUCAUUAAUAAGUUUUAUAAGGCUAGCACAAAACCAGAUAGCCUUGUAAAACCUGAAGAAUACUCUAAAACCAGCUAAGAAUAGUUAAAGAAAAGUGUAUAAUAGACCACUUCUAUUUUAAUCUAGAAUAUAUACCUUAGGUAAGCUUUAUGUAAUUGAAUCCAAAGUAUACUAGGAAACUAAGGGUGGUUCAACAUCAUGCUCUAUCAUUAUUGUUUAAAACUGCCUUCAUUUUUACCACAUAAUUGAGUAUUACAAAUGCAUAUAAGGCAGCCCGGGUGGCUCAGCAGUUUAGCGACACCUUCAGCCCAGGGUGUGAUCCUGGAGACCUGGGAUCAAGUCCCAUGUUGGGCUCCCUGCAUGGAGCCUUUUCUUCCUCUGCCUGUGUCUCUGCCUCUCUCUCUCUCUCUCUCUCUCUCUGUGUGUGUGCCUCAUGAAUAAAUAAAAAAUCUUUUUAAAAAAUUCAUAUAAAGCAUUUCAUAAAUUAUAUAUGAUUUAAAAAUCUUAGAAGACAAGGAAUAGAUUGAACCUUUGCAACAAUAAAAAUCUGUAUACUUAAACCUACAGAAAGCAACCUUCUUAAAGGAGGAAAUAUAGAUGAAUUGAGAUGCAUAAGACCAGGAAUAUGAUAUUGAUGUUCAUCACCACCAUUACUUUUUAGCAUAAUAUUAAAGAUUCUCACCAAUUGCUAUGGUCUGAAUGUUCACAUUCUCUCCCCCCAAAACAAAUUAAAAUUUUGAAAUCUGAAUGUACAAUGUGAUGGUAUUAGUAGGUAAGACUUUUGGAAGGUAAUUAAGUCACAAGGGCAGAACCCUCCACGAAUGACAUUUAAUGCCCUUAGGAAAGAGAUCUCAAAGAGCCCCCUUGCCACCUUAUGUCACGUGAAGACACAAUGAGAAUUCUGCAACCCAGAAAAGAACCCUUAUCUGACUAUGCUACUGCCCUGAUUUUGGACUUCCUCCAUUCAGAACCACAAGCAGUAAAUUUCUGCUAUUGAUAAGCUAUUCUGCUUGUGGUAUUUUGUUACAGCAGCCCAAAUGGACCAAAACACCAAGCAUUUAAGAAACAGACAGAAGGGAUAUAAGGAUCAUCAGGGAAGAGAAAAAAAUUUAUAUGAUAACUCAAUAAACAAUUUGUUAAUAAUAAUUAGAAAGUUCACCUGGAUUAAAGCUAACCUUAGGAAAUCAAUGACAUUAUUAGCAAUAAACAGCUAGAAAAUAAAUUUUAAAAUGAGACUCCACUUAGAAAUUUAAAAGUAUAUCAUUUUAUUAAAAAUAAGAAAAUUUUA